RNAcentral lists this unclassified non-coding RNA (323 nucleotides) under fungal sp. RNAcentral's name for it is "partial internal transcribed spacer region". The stretch from base 1 to 46 matches the Rfam family "Eukaryotic small subunit ribosomal RNA", at positions 1786 to 1831 of the family's 1831-position model. Lineage: Eukaryota; Fungi. The record is from RNAcentral.
AAGUCGUAACAAGGUUUCCGUAGGUGAACCUGCGGAAGGAUCAUUGCCGAACGGACGCGCGCCCUCCGCCCGCCUCGCUUCCGCGAGUGGCGAGUCGGCCGCGUCUCAUCGCACACCCGUGUGAACUCGUGAUCGUGACCCUGGACGGUGGCUGCGUCAUUCAUCAUCAUCUCGAUGACGACGACGAAGCCGCCGAUCCGGCUCCCUUCUCACAAACCACCGAUACCACUCUUGACUGAGACUCACGAGAGUCGCGUCUGACCACGCGUCGCUCGACAAGACACAACCUAUCACAACUUUUAACAACGGAUAUCUUGGCUCGC